Stegodyphus dumicola is the source of this 1479-nucleotide long non-coding RNA. Lineage: Eukaryota; Metazoa; Arthropoda; Arachnida; Araneae; Eresidae. The record is from RefSeq and is a predicted model, not a curated record.
UUUUACUCUUGAUUCUGAUCCGAUUUACAUAAGCAAAUGAAUUUAUUCUUUGGAUUAAACCGUUUGGAAAUACAGAUCGUUAUUGGUUCCAUGAAAGCCAAAUGAUUAAGACAGCUGAAUAUUGGAAGUUCGAGCUGGUUUCGAUCCUCGGCGAAUGGGCUGGCUGCAAAGUUUGUUGUUUGUGGUUUUCGCCAUGUGUAACAUGAAUACAAGCCAAUUUCCCGUUGAAAACCAACCACGAAAGCAUAGCUCCCCAUAGGCGCUCUUGUGUCCUUUUUCCUUUGCUACUGUGUGUUUUUCAAAUUAUGCAACUAUUUUACGAGGUUGUCAUUGAUGCUCAUGUCCGAAGCAUGUAUCUACUAGAACGGUUUUAUGAAUAAUCAUAUGGGGGUCAAAAACAGGAAGGGAUGCUUCUGUCUUUGGUUGGAGGCUUUUGGGAGAUGUGAUAACAGAGCCCUUCUAACUAGCUAUUCCUAGCUUCGAUAAUACUUGUGAGUCUAAGUGCCUGAUAUUCCGCUUUCUUUAUCCCGAGCUCUCGACAGAUUAACGGAGUUAAGGCAAAGACACCAUGCAGUCUCAUCAGUGCAUAAUCGGAAAUUCAACGAUAUGGCAGCUAGCUUUUAUAAAUGUAUACCAUUUUGGACGACAUAUAUUUUGUUAUUAACAAGUGUUUUUAGAUAACAGAAAUAAAAAAUUUCAUAAGGUGUUAUUAGAUUUUUUUCAUAAGGUGUUAUUAGAUUUUUGUUUUUAUUAUGCAAUGAAAGUACUGAAUGAAGUCGUAUUUUGUAUUUUGUUAAAUUUGUUUAUCUUUCUGUCCGAUGAGAAUGAACUUGAAAAAACAUAUUUGUUUCACUGUUGAAUGAGUACAGCCUAACCUUGUAAGGUCUUUUGCCACAAUUUUGUAAUAAUGUGUGGAGAUAAAAUAAAUUAUACAUUAGCCGGUGCAAAUUUUCCUAUUUUGUUACAUUACUCGCAAAAACAUCAUUCAGCCGAGUAUCCAUAAACAACUAAAUGACCAUCUGAAGUUUUAUUUCCCAGUAAUUUUACUUAAUACGCAUGUUCAGCAAGCGUAAACAUUCGCAUAGGUCUCCGACCGACAUCCGUUAACCUUACCUUUACUAAUCUCACUUAAUAACCGAUCUUCGUGUACCAUUGCACUUUGCGGAAGAAGCAGCCCGAGCGUGAGAUUUCGUUGUAAACUAGGCACAGAUCCUGUUGUUUGACUCAUUAACACCCAAAGGAACAAUAACAAAAAUAAGUGACAAAAAGCGUAAAAAUAAAAUCAAAAAUCACGUUAGAGUUGUGCAGGGUACACGUUUCCUGGUAACGAAAGGAUAAUGCGGCGCUGGUAGUCUGUUUAUUUCGAAACACCUGCAAACAAGCUAUCCUUUUCGUUAACCGCAAAUAAAGCGGUUUGUCAUUGAUGGGUGGAGGAAAAUGUAAAAAAAAAAAAAAAAAAAAAAAAAAAAAAAAAAAAAA